GAACAGUACACCGUGUAUUUGCCACGAGUUCCGGCAUCAGAAUACGUAUCCGAUUCGCGCUCACGUCUGCCCAGCAAAGAACGGGAAAUCCACGAAAGUCUCUUUCGGAUAACGUUACUAAACGAUUAUGUGAUGCAUUCAGUUCUUCUAGAGAAGGAAGCCACGUCUAUACAGAAAUAUCAUGAUUAUAAAUAUGGAAAAAUUUAAUUCUUUAACAUUUCAAUAUAUGUUCAAUAUCUGAAUAAAUCAAAUAUUCUAAUAAAACUAUACAAUCAUUCGAUAAAAACACGUGUGUGAAUUAAUUUCAUGCAUAUUAUUGUACCUCUGAUGUAUCUUCAAGAGUGGUAAGCUCAUUAUGAGAAAGAUCGAGUACUUUUAGACCAUCGAGACCUCGUAGAUCGCGUUGACCAAUUGUUGGUCCUAAAGCAUUAUGACUUAGAUUCAACCUCUGCAAUUCCUUCAUUCCAAGAAACAAGGAACCAUCCAAGCUUCGUAGCUCGUUAUGCUGAAGUCGCAUA
Molecule: long non-coding RNA, 518 nt
Organism: Apis dorsata (giant honeybee)
Lineage: Eukaryota; Metazoa; Arthropoda; Insecta; Hymenoptera; Apidae
Exons: 2
Source: RefSeq, a predicted model, not a curated record